Molecule: ribosomal RNA, 709 nt
Filed under: Microbacterium hydrocarbonoxydans
Lineage: Bacteria; Bacillati; Actinomycetota; Actinomycetes; Micrococcales; Microbacteriaceae
Description: bacterial SSU rRNA
Rfam family: Bacterial small subunit ribosomal RNA
Source: RNAcentral
AGAGUUUGAUCCUGGCUCAGGAUGAACGCUGGCGGCGUGCUUAACACAUGCAAGUCGAACGGUGAACACGGAGCUUGCUCUGUGGGAUCAGUGGCGAACGGGUGAGUAACACGUGAGCAACCUGCCCCUGACUCUGGGAUAAGCGCUGGAAACGGCGUCUAAUACUGGAUACGAACCAUGAAGGCAUCUUCAGUGGUUGGAAAGAUUUAUUGGUUGGGGAUGGGCUCGCGGCCUAUCAGCUUGUUGGUGAGGUAAUGGCUCACCAAGGCGUCGACGGGUAGCCGGCCUGAGAGGGUGACCGGCCACACUGGGACUGAGACACGGCCCAGACUCCUACGGGAGGCAGCAGUGGGGAAUAUUGCACAAUGGGCGCAAGCCUGAUGCAGCAACGCCGCGUGAGGGAUGACGGCCUUCGGGUUGUAAACCUCUUUUAGCAGGGAAGAAGCGAAAGUGACGGUACCUGCAGAAAAAGCGCCGGCUAACUACGUGCCAGCAGCCGCGGUAAUACGUAGGGCGCAAGCGUUAUCCGGAAUUAUUGGGCGUAAAGAGCUCGUAGGCGGUUUGUCGCGUCUGCUGUGAAAUCCGGAGGCUCAACCUCCGGCCUGCAGUGGGUACGGGCAGACUAGAGUGCGGUAGGGGAGAUUGGAAUUCCUGGUGUAGCGGUGGAAUGCGCAGAUAUCAGGAGGAACACCGAUGGCGAAGGCAGNUU